Molecule: ribosomal RNA, 642 nt
Filed under: Triticum aestivum (bread wheat)
Lineage: Eukaryota; Viridiplantae; Streptophyta; Magnoliopsida; Poales; Poaceae
Description: partial small subunit ribosomal RNA
Source: RNAcentral
AUGGGGCUCGUCCCACACGCCGGCGGCGCGGACGGAUCGGCGUCGAUGGCGAUGCCGAUGCUUACGGUGGACAACUACACCGUCUGGGCGAUCAAGGCGCAGGCCAUCCUCGACGUGCACACCGUGUGGGAAGCGGUGGCGCCGGGCGAUGCGGCGGUGAACGCGCGGAAGGACAAGAUGGCGCGUGCGUUGCUUCUCGGGGUGUUGCCGGAGGAUGUGCUGCUGCAGGUGUCGACGAAGCUCACCGCCAGGGAGGUAUGGGACUCCCUGAAGGUGAGGUUCGUCGGCGCCGAUCGGGUCCGCGCGGCGAGGCUGGGAACGCUGCGCGGCGAAUUCGACCGGAUGGAGAUGGCGGACGGCGAGGAGCUCGACGUGUACGGCAGGAGGCUCGCGGCGAUGGCGGCGAGGUAUGCCAACCUCGGAGAGACGCUGGGUGACGCAGCACUUGUCAAGAAGUUGCUGGAUACAGUGCCGGAUCGCUUCUUCCCCGUUGUCGCCGGCAUCGAGCAGUUCCACGACGUGACGGCGAUGGCGUUCGACGAAGCGCUCGGGCGGCUGCGUGCGUUCGACGAGCGGGUUCGGCGCCGUGGACAAGACAGCGGCGAGCGCGGGGGUGAGCAGCUGCUCAUGACGGCGGCGUAG